GAUGAACGCUGGCGGCGUGCCUAAUACAUGCAAGUCGAGCGAACGGACGAGAAGCUUGCUUCUCUGAUGUUAGCGGCGGACGGGUGAGUAAAACGUGGAUAACCUACCUAUAAGACUGGGAUAACUUCGGGAAACCGGAGCUAAUACCGGAUAAUAUUUUGAACCGCAUGGUUCAAAAGUGAAAGACGGUCUUGCUGUCACUUAUAGAUGGAUCCGCGCUGCAUUAGCUAGUUGGUAAGGUAACGGCUUACCAAGGCAACGAUGCAUAGCCGACCUGAGAGGGUGAUCGGCCACACUGGAACUGAGACACGGUCCAGACUCCUACGGGAGGCAGCAGUAGGGAAUCUUCCGCAAUGGGCGAAAGCCUGAAGGAGCAACGCCGCGUGAGUGAUGAAGGUCUGCGGAUCGUAAAACUCUGUUAUUAGGGAAGAACAUAUGUGUAAGUAACUGUGCACAUCGUGACGGUACCUAAUCAGAAAGCCACGGCUAACUACGUG
RNAcentral lists this ribosomal RNA (497 nucleotides) under uncultured bacterium. RNAcentral's name for it is "partial 16S ribosomal RNA". It matches the Rfam family "Bacterial small subunit ribosomal RNA", at positions 28 to 507 of the family's 1533-position model. The record is from RNAcentral.